RNAcentral lists this transfer RNA (60 nucleotides) under Moniezia sp. MN-2015. RNAcentral's name for it is "tRNA-Arg". Lineage: Eukaryota; Metazoa; Platyhelminthes; Cestoda; Cyclophyllidea; Anoplocephalidae. The record is from RNAcentral.
GGCGUACUUUGGGACUUAUGUUACGGCCAUAAGGUUAGGGGCUUAAAGCGUCGUACGCUU